This 202-nucleotide long non-coding RNA is filed under the name Elaeis guineensis (African oil palm). Its description in RNAcentral is "long non-coding RNA (EGUI_LNC065108)". Lineage: Eukaryota; Viridiplantae; Streptophyta; Magnoliopsida; Arecales; Arecaceae. The record is from RNAcentral.
AUUUAUCGGAUGGUUUUUAAAUUGUUCACGAUCAAAUGAUAAGUUAUUAACAAGGACGAUAACUUAUCAAGUGUAGGUCGCUAUAUGCCAUAUGCAUUGGUUGUCCUCGUAAUCAAGUGGUAUGGAGACACUGGUAUGGCAUCCAGGUGAGAUGUAGGAGUACAUUUGCAUUGAACAUAACCAAUAUAACACUCUACUAUCA